RNAcentral lists this long non-coding RNA (1620 nucleotides) under Parus major (Great Tit). RNAcentral describes it as "lncRNA (ENSPMJG00000010163.1)". The record is from RNAcentral. Lineage: Eukaryota; Metazoa; Chordata; Aves; Passeriformes; Paridae.
AAAAUUCCCAAAAAUUCUUCUCCUUCCCAAAAAUCUGUUGCUUCUAAAAAAUCCGGGAAAUCCCCAAAAAUCCAGGAAAUUCCUAAAAAUCUGGGAUUCCUCAAAAAUUCUCUGUUCCCAAAAAUUCCUCUCCUUCCCAAAAAUCCGGAAAAUUCCCAAAAAUCUGCUGCUUCCCAAAAAUUCAGUUCCCAAAAAUCCAUUCAUUCCCGGAAAUCCGGGAAAUUCCCAAAAAUCUGCUGCUUCCCAAAAAUUCCCCAUUCCCUGUUCCUGUUUCUCAUUCCCAUUUUUCCCAUCCCCCAUUAUCCCAUUUUCCCCUUCCUAAUUCCCAUUUUUCCCAUUAUCCCCAUUCCCAUUUUUCCCAUUCCCAUUNGCAGCAGAAGCCGGCGGAGGCCGAGCCGGGCGCGGGGGAUUCCGGGAAGCAGUUGGUUCCCUGCACGGUCCAGCCCCUUUUCCUGGUGGAUUCCAGCGCCGUCGACGUCGGAUCCGGGGAUCUUCCCAUCUUUUUCGAGCUGGGGGAGGGGCCCUGCUUCCCGGACGAGUAUCCCGAGGAAUAUCCCGAGGAAUAUCCCGAGGAAUAUCCCGAGGAAUAUCCCGAGGAUCCCGCGCUGCUCCCGCGGCCGCCCACGCCCCGCGACCCGGCCGUCUCCUAAAACAAAAAAAUCCGGGAUCGAGGACAAGGGAUUGGAUCCCCGGGAAAAAAACAAAUCCUGGGGAAAAAAAAAAAGGAUUCCCAGGAAAAGAAAAAAAUCCCGGAAAAAAAAUCCCGGGAAACAAAAAAAUCCCGGGAAAAAAAGGAUUCCCGGGAAAAGAAAGGAUUUGGGGAAAAAAAGGAUUCCCGGGAAAAGGGAAGGAAUCUUCGCACAAAAUCCCGGAGGCGCCGCUCUCCCGGCUCGGAGCGGAAUUCUGGGGGAUCCCGGGGGAUCUUGGAGCGUUCCUGGGGAUCUUGGAGAGUCACCAGGGAUUCCGGAGGGUUCCGGGAAAUCUUGGAGGUUUCUGGAAUGUUCUGGGGCAUUCCAGAGGAUCCCAGGAAGUCCUGGAGGAUCCCAGAGGAUCCCAGAAUGUCACGAGGGAUUCCAGAGGAUCCCAGAAAAUCCUGGAGGAUCCCGGAGGAUCCCAGAAAAUUCUGGAGGAUUCCAGAGGAUUCCAGAAAAUUCUGGAGGAUUCCAGAGGAUCCCAGAAAAUCCUGGAGGAUCCCAGAGGAUCCCAGAAAAUUCUGGAGGAUUCCAGAGGAUUCCAGAAAAUUCUGGAGGGUCCUGGAGGAUUCCAGAGGAUCCCAGAAAAUCCCAGAGGAUCCCAGAGCAUCACAAGAAAUUCCAGAGGAUUCCUGGAAAUCCUAGAGGAUCCCAGAAAAUUCCAGAGGGUCCCAGAGGAUUCCAGAACGUCCUGGAAAACUCCAGAAGAUCCCAGAAAAUCCUGGAUGGUCCCAGAGGAUCCCUCGGUUCCUGAGGCGUUCCCAAAGUUCCCAGAUUCCCAGGAAAAGCGGGAUCUGCCCAAAUCCCGGGGUAUCCCAGAAAAUCCGGCGGGAUCCCGAAAUCCACGGGAAGCGGAAACCCCGGGAAUUCCGGAGGGAUCCCGGAAUUCCAUCCCGGAAUUCCACAGCGUCCCAAACCCGGCCAGCGC